Molecule: long non-coding RNA, 404 nt
Organism: Salarias fasciatus (jewelled blenny)
Lineage: Eukaryota; Metazoa; Chordata; Actinopteri; Blenniiformes; Blenniidae
Exons: 6
Source: RefSeq, a predicted model, not a curated record
AGAAGAAGAAAAAGAAGCACAAGAAAAAGGAUUCCAGCUCUUCGUCAUCUUCUUCAUCAUCAUCUGACAGUGACAAAGACAAAAAGAAGAAGAAAAAGGACAAGAAAAAGGACGAUGAAGAGGAGGAGCUCGGUGGUGUUAGUGCUGUUGCAGCAGCAGGUGGUGAGGCUGCACUCAAGGGAGCAGAAGAAGGCAAACUCUCCUCGACACUUUCAGCAGGGGCAGCUGAGGCUUUCCCCAAAGGUCCUGAGGAUGGCAACCUAACUGAUGAUGAGGGGGAGGGAGGGGAGGCAAGUGGGAAGAAGAAGCAGCUCAAGAAGAAGAAGAAGAAGAAGAAGAAGGACUCCAGCUCCUCUUCAUCUGACAGCUCAGACAGUGAAGAUGACAAAAAGAAAAAGAAGAAG